CAAUGAUUUAUUAGAUAUAAUUAAAUAGCCGCAGUAUCUUGACUGUGCGAAGGUAGCAUAAUCAUUUGUCUUUUAAUUGAAGGCUUGUAUGAAUGGUUGAAUGAAAGAAUUUCUUUCUUUAUAUUAAAUAUAGAAUUUAAUUUUUAAGUUAAAAAGCUUAAAUUUGUAAAAGGGACGAGAAGACCCUAUAGAAUUUUAUUUAUUUAAUAUUUAAAUUGUUGUGGAUUUUGUAUUUUUUUAAUAUUAAAUAACUUUUGUUGGGGUGAUGUUGAGAUUAUAAAAACUCUCAUAUUUAAUGAUUUUAUUUAUUUAUAUAUUAAGGAUCCUUAUUUUAGGAUAUUUAGAUUAAAUUACCUUAGGGAUAACAGCGUUAUUUUAUUGGAGAGUUCUUAUCGAUAAUAAAGUUUGCGACCUCGAUGUUGGAUUAAAAUUAGAUUUAAGUGCAGUUGCUUAAUUUCUAGGU
RNAcentral lists this ribosomal RNA (463 nucleotides) under Placosternum sp. RNAcentral describes it as "partial large subunit ribosomal RNA". The record is from RNAcentral. Lineage: Eukaryota; Metazoa; Arthropoda; Insecta; Hemiptera; Pentatomidae.